This 109-nucleotide microRNA precursor is filed under the name Prunus dulcis (almond). RNAcentral describes it as "sRNA ncRNA". The record is from RNAcentral. Lineage: Eukaryota; Viridiplantae; Streptophyta; Magnoliopsida; Rosales; Rosaceae.
UUUCUGUUCUAUUUCGAUCAAAGUGACUUUUUAGUUGAUAUUUUUCAUUUUUAUUUUCUGCUUGUAUUGUAUCAAGCAGAAAAGUCACUUUGUUCGAAAUAGAACAGAA